UUCGAAACUGCGUAACUAGAAUAUGGUAAGAGGAAGACGGAAUUCCACGUGUAGCGGUGAAAUGCGUAGAUAUGUGGAGAAACACCAAUGGCGAAGGCAGUCUUCUGGGCCAAUAUUGACGCUGAGGCUCGAAAGCGUGGGUAGCAAACAGGAUUAGAUACCCUGGUAGUCCACGCCGUAAACGAUGAGAACUAGACGUUGGGCGACAUAGUCGCUCAGUGCCGCAGCAAACGCGUUAAGUUCUCCGCCUGGGGAGUACGGCCGCAAGGUUGAAACUCAAAGGAAUUGACGGGGGCCCGCACAAGCGGUGGAGCAUGUGGUUUAAUUCGAUGCAACGCGAAGAACCUUACCUGCCCUUGACAUCCUGUGAACCCUUCGGAGACGAAGGGGUGCUUUCGAGAACACAGUGACAGGUGCUGCAUGGCU
RNAcentral lists this ribosomal RNA (426 nucleotides) under uncultured Salinisphaera sp. Its description in RNAcentral is "bacterial SSU rRNA". It matches the Rfam family "Bacterial small subunit ribosomal RNA", at positions 626 to 1050 of the family's 1533-position model. Lineage: Bacteria; Pseudomonadati; Pseudomonadota; Gammaproteobacteria; Salinisphaerales; Salinisphaeraceae. The record is from RNAcentral.